RNAcentral lists this ribosomal RNA (594 nucleotides) under Triticum aestivum (bread wheat). Its description in RNAcentral is "partial small subunit ribosomal RNA". Lineage: Eukaryota; Viridiplantae; Streptophyta; Magnoliopsida; Poales; Poaceae. The record is from RNAcentral.
AUGGAAGAGGAUGACAAUCUUGGUGGUGGUGGCCUUCUUCUUCGUCGGAGUUGGUCGGCCGGCUGGUUGUGCUUGCAUGGUCAUGCAGUGACCGGCGGCUUGGCCGGUCGGCGGCGGCAGAACUUGGCCGGUGGCAGCGGCAAAGUUCUGCCUGGAUCCCGGGGCGGCGGCCUUGGAGGGUGGCGGCCGGUGAAGCUCGGGCUUCCCGCGGCGGCAUGGCGUGGUGCAGUCCCUGUCCAAGGCAGAUCUGUGACGGUGAUCUGCUAUGGAUUGGUUCGGAUCAGAGACGGUGACGAGCGAGCGGGAUCCUUCUCGGCGGCUCUCACGGCUUGGCGAGGCGGGGUGGGAGCCCUCCUCCUAGGCUCCAGUGGUGGCACACUCAGGCAGUGGCCGGUGCGCCAGGGAUCCCACGGUGGCACUGUUGCUGCGGUUGGUCGCCGGAUCUUGGCGGCUGGAUCUAGGGCUUUGAAGGCGGUCGAGAUGGUGCACAGGUUGUUGGGUGGAUUUCUUGGGACGGAUCCGGGUGAAAACCUGAUCUUCGAUCGAUGGACGGAGCCGGUGAUGACGAUGCCCUUAUCAUCGUUUCCUUCAUGA